GCUGCGGUAGCUCAGUGGUAGAGCACUCCAUUGGUAAUGGAGAGGUCGCGGGUUCAAUCCCCGCUCGCAGCACCA
This 75-nucleotide transfer RNA is filed under the name Aureimonas pseudogalii. Its description in RNAcentral is "tRNA-Thr". It matches the Rfam family "tRNA". From Rfam's summary of the family: Transfer RNA (tRNA) molecules are approximately 80 nucleotides in length. The record is from RNAcentral. Lineage: Bacteria; Pseudomonadati; Pseudomonadota; Alphaproteobacteria; Hyphomicrobiales; Aurantimonadaceae.